CGGGACGUGGCGCAGCCUGGUAGCGUACCUGAAUGGGGUUCAGGGGGUCGCGAGUUCAAAUCUCGCCGUCCCGACCA
This 77-nucleotide transfer RNA is filed under the name Pseudomonadota bacterium. Its description in RNAcentral is "tRNA-Pro". It matches the Rfam family "tRNA". From Rfam's summary of the family: Transfer RNA (tRNA) molecules are approximately 80 nucleotides in length. RNAcentral also lists the same sequence under 3 other names. The record is from RNAcentral. Lineage: Bacteria; Pseudomonadati; Pseudomonadota.